Long non-coding RNA from Bufo gargarizans (Asiatic toad), 387 nucleotides. RefSeq lists it as uncharacterized. The record is from RefSeq and is a predicted model, not a curated record. NCBI's taxonomy places the organism in Eukaryota, Metazoa, Chordata, Amphibia, Anura, Bufonidae. The transcript has 2 exons.
GUUCACUGACAGUAUAAUAAUGUAGCUACAGUCCCGUGAUUGACCCUUUUCCUCUCACAGAGACGGCGCUGCAGUACAUUUCAGCUUCUGACCAUGUCUUUUGUCCACAGGCUGACAGUAAACUGUACCACCGCGUGGCACCUGCCCAGGAAGGAACAACACGUUUCCUGCCAGCCUUGGAGGAAGGGGAUCCGAUUAGACUCCAAGGCUGACAAUCGCGCAACCACGUUGACGGACUUGCCCUGGACCUACCCUAUCAUCCUGGAUUUGGAAUAUUUUUUAAAUAAAGUUUUGCCAAUAUAUUUUUUAAAGCGAAAUUGAUAUUUUAAAAAAAUUAAAUAAAAAAUACAUAUAUACAUUUUAUGGAUAUCCUUUGCAUAACUGUAA